Molecule: long non-coding RNA, 305 nt
Filed under: Sorghum bicolor (sorghum)
Lineage: Eukaryota; Viridiplantae; Streptophyta; Magnoliopsida; Poales; Poaceae
Description: long non-coding RNA (SBIC_LNC013360)
Source: RNAcentral
AUUAAUAAUUCAAAAAAGGGAGAAUUUAUCUUGAAAAAGACAUAAACAAGCAAAUACGAGUAUAUUCUCCCAAAGCUCAUCACUCAUCAAGGCACGCGAUUACCACUGCACAGUGGAUCCCGCGCGAUAUCCUGGACGGAUGGGCCCAGAUCUUGCUUACAGGCAGGUGGUCCCCAGUUAUCGCGUUGGAUCCAGCUGGGCCAAUCCGGGGCCCAGCGACCCCUCCGGGUCCCGCUCCGGAUCCCUUGCUCCCGGUGCGCAGAGUCCAGUACACGCUACACGAGCCGUAACCUCCGCUCUUCCCA